GACGAACGCUGGCGGCGUGCCUAAUACAUGCAAGUAGAACGCUGAAGCGAGGAGCUUGCUCUUCUUGGAUGAGUUGCGUACGGGUGAGUAACGCGUAGGUAACCUGCCUUGUAGCGGGGGAUAACUAUUGGAAACGAUAGCUAAUACCGCAUAACAAUGGCUUACACAUGUUUUUUAUUUUACAGGGGCAAUUGUUCCACUACAAGAUGGACCUGCGUUGUAUUAGCUAGUAGGUGAGGUAAUGGCCCACCUAGGCGACGAGUCAUAGCCGACCGGAGAGGGGGGUCGGCCACACGGGGACGGGAACACGGCCCAGGCGACUACGGGAGGCAGCAGUAGGGAACCGUCGGCAAUGGGGGCAAACCUGACCGAGCAACGCCGCGUGAGUGAAGGAGGUUUUCGGAGCGUAAAGCUCUGUUGUAAGUCAAGAACGGGUGUGAGAGGGGAAAGUGCACACUGUGACGGUAGCUUACCAGAAAGGGACGGCUAACUACGUG
This 497-nucleotide ribosomal RNA is filed under the name uncultured bacterium. Its description in RNAcentral is "partial 16S ribosomal RNA". It matches the Rfam family "Bacterial small subunit ribosomal RNA", at positions 28 to 507 of the family's 1533-position model. The record is from RNAcentral.